UAACACGGGGGGGACAAGCGUUGUUCGGAUUUACUGGGCGUAAAGCGCUCGUAGGCGGGCCCGCAAGUUGAACGUGAAAACCGAAGGCUUAACCUUCGGCCUGCAUUCAAAACUGCGAGUCUAGAGUACUGGAGAGGAUGGCGGAAUUCCUGGUGUAGCGGUGAAAUGCGUAGAUAUCAGGAGGAACACCGGUGGCGAAGGCGGCCAUCUGGACAGAUACUGACGCUGAGGGGCGAAGGCUAGGGUAGCAAACAGGAUUAGAUACCCUGGUAGUCCUAGCGGUAAACGAUGGGUACUAGGUGUUGGUGGUAUCGACCCCACCAGUGCCGCAGCUAACGCAUUAAGUACCCCGCCUGGGGAGUACGGUCGCAAGAUUG
RNAcentral lists this ribosomal RNA (377 nucleotides) under uncultured bacterium. Its description in RNAcentral is "bacterial SSU rRNA". It matches the Rfam family "Bacterial small subunit ribosomal RNA", at positions 521 to 896 of the family's 1533-position model. The record is from RNAcentral.